GGGAGCCGAAGGGAAACCGAGUCUUAACUGGGCGUUAAGUUGCAGGGUAUAGACCCGAAACCCGGUGAUCUAGCCAUGGGCAGGUUGAAGGUUGGGUAACACUAACUGGAGGACCGAACCGACUAAUGUUGAAAAAUUAGCGGAUGACUUGUGGCUGGGGGUGAAAGGCCAAUCAAACCGGGAGAUAGCUGGUUCUCCCCGAAAGCUAUUUAGGUAGCGCCUCGUGAAUUCAUCUCCGGGGGUAGAGCACUGUUUCGGCAAGGGGGUCAUCCCGACUUACCAACCCGAUGCAAACUGCGAAUACCGGAGAAUGUUAUCACGGGAGACACACGGCGGGUGCUAACGUCCGUCGUGAAGAGGGAAACAACCCAGACCGCCAGCUAAGGUCCCAAAGUCAUGGUUAAGUGGGAAACGAUGUGGGAAGGCCCAGACAGCCAGGAUGUUGGCUUAGAAGCAGCCAUCAUUUAAAGAAAGCGUAAUAGCUCACUGGUCGAGUCGGCCUGCGCGGAAGAUGUAACGGGGCUAAACCAUGCACCGAAGCUGCGGCAGCGACACUGUGUGUUGUUGGGUAGGGGAGCGUUCUGUAAGCCUGUGAAGGUGUGCUGUGAGGCAUGCUGGAGGUAUCAGAAGUGCGAAUGCUGACAUAAGUAACGAUAAAGCGGGUGAAAAGCCCGCUCGCCGGAAGACCAAGGGUUCCUGUCCAACGUUAAUCGGGGCAGGGUGAGUCGACCCCUAAGGCGAGGCCGAAAGGCGUAGUCGAUGGGAAACAGGUUAAUAUUCCUGUACUUGGUGUUACUGCGAAGGGGGGACGGAGAAGGCUAUGUUGGCCGGGCGACGGUUGUCCCGGUUUAAGCGUGUAGGCUGGUUUUCCAGGCAAAUCCGGAAAAUCAAGGCUGAGGCGUGAUGACGAGGCACUACGGUGCUGAAGCAACAAAUGCCCUGCUUCCAGGAAAAGCCUCUAAGCAUCAGGUAACAUCAAAUCGUACCCCAAACCGACACAGGUGGUCAGGUAGAGAAUACCAAGGCGCUUGAGAGAACUCGGGUGAAGGAACUAGGCAAAAUGGUGCCGUAACUUCGGGAGAAGGCACGCUGAUAUGUAGGUGAAGUCCCUCGCGGAUGGAGCUGAAAUCAGUCGAAGAUACCAGCUGGCUGCAACUGUUUAUUAAAAACACAGCACUGUGCAAACACGAAAGUGGACGUAUACGGUGUGACGCCUGCCCGGUGCCGGAAGGUUAAUUGAUGGGGUCAGCGCAAGCGAAGCUCUUGAUCGAAGCCCCGGUAAACGGCGGCCGUAACUAUAACGGUCCUAAGGUAGCGAAAUUCCUUGUCGGGUAAGUUCCGACCUGCACGAAUGGCGUAAUGAUGGCCAGGCUGUCUCCACCCGAGACUCAGUGAAAUUGAACUCGCUGUGAAGAUGCAGUGUACCCGCGGCAAGACGGAAAGACCCCGUGAACCUUUACUAUAGCUUGACACUGAACAUUGAGCCUUGAUGUGUAGGAUAGGUGGGAGGCUUUGAAGUGUGGACGCCAGUCUGCAUGGAGCCGACCUUGAAAUACCACCCUUUAAUGUUUGAUGUUCUAACGUGGACCCGUGAUCCGGGUUGCGGACAGUGUCUGGUGGGUAGUUUGACUGGGGCGGUCUCCUCCUAAAGAGUAACGGAGGAGCACGAAGGUUGGCUAAUCCUGGUCGGACAUCAGGAGGUUAGUGCAAUGGCAUAAGCCAGCUUGACUGCGAGCGUGACGGCGCGAGCAGGUGCGAAAGCAGGUCAUAGUGAUCCGGUGGUUCUGAAUGGAAGGGCCAUCGCUCAACGGAUAAAAGGUACUCCGGGGAUAACAGGCUGAUACCGCCCAAGAGUUCAUAUCGACGGCGGUGUUUGGCACCUCGAUGUCGGCUCAUCACAUCCUGGGGCUGAAGUAGGUCCCAAGGGUAUGGCUGUUCGCCAUUUAAAGUGGUACGCGAGCUGGGUUUAGAACGUCGUGAGACAGUUCGGUCCCUAUCUGCCGUGGGCGCUGGAGAACUGAGGGGGGCUGCUCCUAGUACGAGAGGACCGGAGUGGACGCAUCACUGGUGUUCGGGUUGUCAUGCCAAUGGCACUGCCCGGUAGCUAAAUGCGGAAGAGAUAAGUGCUGAAAGCAUCUAAGCACGAAACUUGCCCCGAGAUGAGUUCUCCCUGACCCUUUAAGGGUCCUGAAGGAACGUUGAAGACGACGACGUUGAUAGGCCGGGUGUGUAAGCGCAGCGAUGCGUUGAGCUAACCGGUACUAAUGAACCGUGAGGCUUAACCUUACAACGCCGAAGGUGUUU
RNAcentral lists this ribosomal RNA (2304 nucleotides) under Escherichia coli. RNAcentral's name for it is "partial 23S ribosomal RNA". It matches the Rfam family "Bacterial large subunit ribosomal RNA", at positions 661 to 2925 of the family's 2925-position model. Lineage: Bacteria; Pseudomonadati; Pseudomonadota; Gammaproteobacteria; Enterobacterales; Enterobacteriaceae. The record is from RNAcentral.